This 1471-nucleotide long non-coding RNA is filed under the name Salmo trutta (river trout). Its description in RNAcentral is "lncRNA (ENSSTUG00000003799.1)". Lineage: Eukaryota; Metazoa; Chordata; Actinopteri; Salmoniformes; Salmonidae. The record is from RNAcentral.
CUUGCCUACGCCGUUCGGCCAUCGCUCAUCCAUAUAUUUAUAUGUACAUAUUCUUAUUCAUUCCCUUACACUUGUGUGUAUAAGGUAGUUGUUGUGAAAUUGUUAGAGGACUUGUUAGAUAUUACUGCACGGUCGGAACUAGAAGCACAAGAAUUUCACUACACUCGCAUUAACAUCUGCUAACCAUGUGUAUUGUGACCAAUACAAUUUGAUUUGAUUUUGAGUUCACGGAAGAGUAUCCAAACAAACCACCCGCAGUCAGAUUCAUCUCCAAGAUGUUUCAUCCAAAUAGUAUGGCAUUUUGUCUUUUCCUUUUCGGAAUUUAAUUUGUUACUAUUGUGCUUUGAUCCUGUUAUCGUGGUUUCCUCUAUCCCCCAGUGUAUGCUGAUGGCAGUAUAUGUCUCGAUAUUCUUCAGAAUCGCUGGAGUCCAACCUAUGAUAUAUCAUCAAUUCUCACCUCUAUCCAGUCUUUGCUGGACAAACCAAAUCCCAACAGUCCGUCAAACAGCCAAGUGGCACAGCUGUACCAGGAAAACAAACGGAGUACGAGAAGAGAGUCUUGGCCAUCAUCGAGCAGAACUGGAGGGACAGCUGACCCCCCUCGAGACGACCUCUGACCUCCCAAAGAACGUUCUGGAACAUUGUGUGAUUUAGCGUAGCUGAGUGAUUCGUGAAUCAUUUAUUACUCUCCUUUGUUUUUGAGAAAUCAUGUGCACUUUAAUGGUUUGCUCUACCAAGGGGAGUAUCUUGCAGGUUCUUCUGUCACCCCUCGUUUACUUAAUCCGUUUACUCUUCCACUAACCUAUCAAUCAAGUUGGACUGGUCCGAAAUGUGGGUCGGGACUCAAUGACAGUGAACACAUUCACAUGCGCACAGUAUUCCGGAUAGUAACUCAUUGUAACAAGCGUCGUUAAAGGUAGACCAAAACGCAGCAGGUACGUGAAUGCUCAUCUUCCUGUUUAUUAAAGAAAUGAACACUGAACAAAAGAACGAUGAAAACAGUCCUGUAAGGUACACAGACAAUACAUGGAAACAACCACCCACAAAACACAAGCUGAAAACCCCUACUUAAAUAUGGCCUCCAAUUAGAGACAAUGAAGAACAGCUGCCUCCAAUUGAAGGCCAAACCAAAACCCUGAACAUAGAAAUAGAACUAGAAAUACAAACAUAGAAAUACAUGACAUAGAACAGUACCCAGAAAUCCCAACAACACAAAAAAAACACACCCCUGCCACGUCCUGACCAUACUACAAUAACAAAAUGACCCCUUUACUGGUCAGGACGUGACACUCAUGUCCCGCUUAAGGUCUUAUUCGGGAUAAGCUGUUUACAUGCACCUUUAAUAUCCCGCUCAAGAGUAUCCCUGUAUUCAUGAAUAAAUAGAACAUUCAUAAUUAAUGUUCAUAUGGGUUAAAUGGAAUAACAACAUAAAUCUGGACACUGACUGUAGGUCUAUAACCUCUCAAAUGUA